UUGGUGCUUCAUGUUCCCCAGGUUGC
This 26-nucleotide non-coding RNA is filed under the name Mus musculus (house mouse). The record is from RNAcentral. Lineage: Eukaryota; Metazoa; Chordata; Mammalia; Rodentia; Muridae.